Non-coding RNA from Oryctolagus cuniculus (rabbit), 787 nucleotides. The record is from RefSeq and is a predicted model, not a curated record. NCBI's taxonomy places the organism in Eukaryota, Metazoa, Chordata, Mammalia, Lagomorpha, Leporidae.
GGCUGAAGGCUCACCGAUAAGCAAGGCGCUGAGAGCCCACUGGAAGAGAGCGAAGACCUCCAGGGCGGUCUUGAGGUCCUUCUUGGAGGGCAGCAGCAUGAUGCCCGAGGUCCCAGCGGCUGCAGGAAACAAGUGCUGAAUUCUCAUUAAUGCUGAAGUGUCCAGGGGUUAAAGAGUGCAAACGUCUGCAGUUUACCUUGAAGUGCAAAUAAAGUCUAUUGGCGGAUCGAUGGCUGGGGGGACGGACGGACAGACACGUGACGACGGCAACAAAACAUUCUCUGUGGAACCCAGAUGAUCAUCGUAAAAGCAAGUUGUCAGGGAUGGUGUUGUGGCACAGCAGGUUAAAGCCAUUGCCGGAAAUGCCAGCAUCCCAUAUCAGAGCCACCAGUUCCAGUCCCGGCUGCUCCACUUCUGAUCCAGCUCCCUGCUAAUGCACCUGGGAAAGCAAUGGAAGAUGGCCCAAGUGCUUGGGCCUCUGCACCCACGUGGGAGAUUUGAAUGAAGAUUCUGGCUCCUGGCUUUGGCCUGGCCCAGCUGCAGCCACUACAGCCACUUGUGGAGGGGACCAGCAGCUGGUAAAUUCCUCUUUCCCUCUCUCCCUCUCUCUCUUCCUCUCUCUCCCUCUCUUUCUUCCUCUCUCUCUCCCUCUCUCCCUCUCUCUCUCCCCCUCCCCCCCUCUCUCCCUCUCUCUCUUCCUCUCUCCCUCUCUCUCGCCCCCCUCUCUCCCUCUCUCUCUCUCCCUGUCUCUCUCUCACUCUGUGUUACUCUGCUUUUCAAAGAAAUA